RNAcentral lists this ribosomal RNA (2774 nucleotides) under Escherichia coli. RNAcentral describes it as "partial 23S ribosomal RNA". It matches the Rfam family "Bacterial large subunit ribosomal RNA". The record is from RNAcentral. Lineage: Bacteria; Pseudomonadati; Pseudomonadota; Gammaproteobacteria; Enterobacterales; Enterobacteriaceae.
CACACUAUCAUUAACUGAAUCCAUAGGUUAAUGAGGCGAACCGGGGGAACUGAAACAUCUAAGUACCCCGAGGAAAAGAAAUCAACCGAGAUUCCCCCAGUAGCGGCGAGCGAACGGGGAGCAGCCCAGAGCCUGAAUCAGUGUGUGUGUUAGUGGAAGCGUCUGGAAAGGCGCGCGAUACAGGGUGACAGCCCCGUACACAAAAAUGCACAUACUGUGAGCUCGAUGAGUAGGGCGGGACACGUGGUAUCCUGUCUGAAUAUGGGGGGACCAUCCUCCAAGGCUAAAUACUCCUGACUGACCGAUAGUGAACCAGUACCGUGAGGGAAAGGCGAAAAGAACCCCGGCGAGGGGAGUGAAAAAGAACCUGAAACCGUGUACGUACAAGCAGUGGGAGCCUCUUAAUGGGGUGACUGCGUACCUUUUGUAUAAUGGGUCAGCGACUUAUAUUCUGUAGCAAGGUUAACCGAAUAGGGGAGCCGAAGGGAAACCGAGUCUUAACUGGGCGUUAAGUUGCAGGGUAUAGACCCGAAACCCGGUGAUCUAGCCAUGGGCAGGUUGAAGGUUGGGUAACACUAACUGGAGGACCGAACCGACUAAUGUUGAAAAAUUAGCGGAUGACUUGUGGCUGGGGGUGAAAGGCCAAUCAAACCGGGAGAUAGCUGGUUCUCCCCGAAAGCUAUUUAGGUAGCGCCUCGUGAAUUCAUCUCCGGGGGUAGAGCACUGUUUCGGCAAGGGGGUCAUCCCGACUUACCAACCCGAUGCAAACUGCGAAUACCGGAGAAUGUUAUCACGGGAGACACACGGCGGGUGCUAACGUCCGUCGUGAAGAGGGAAACAACCCAGACCGCCAGCUAAGGUCCCAAAGUCAUGGUUAAGUGGGAAACGAUGUGGGAAGGCCCAGACAGCCAGGAUGUUGGCUUAGAAGCAGCCAUCAUUUAAAGAAAGCGUAAUAGCUCACUGGUCGAGUCGGCCUGCGCGGAAGAUGUAACGGGGCUAAACCAUGCACCGAAGCUGCGGCAGCGACACUAUGUGUUGUUGGGUAGGGGAGCGUUCUGUAAGCCUGUGAAGGUGUACUGUGAGGUAUGCUGGAGGUAUCAGAAGUGCGAAUGCUGACAUAAGUAACGAUAAAGCGGGUGAAAAGCCCGCUCGCCGGAAGACCAAGGGUUCCUGUCCAACGUUAAUCGGGGCAGGGUGAGUCGACCCCUAAGGCGAGGCCGAAAGGCGUAGUCGAUGGGAAACAGGUUAAUAUUCCUGUACUUGGUGUUACUGCGAAGGGGGGACGGAGAAGGCUAUGUUGGCCGGGCGACGGUUGUCCCGGUUUAAGCGUGUAGGCUGGUUUUCCAGGCAAAUCCGGAAAACUAAGGCUGAGGCGUGAUGACGAGGCACUACGGUGCUGAAGCAACAAAUGCCCUGCUUCCAGGAAAAGCCUCUAAGCAUCAGGUAACAUCAAAUCGUACCCCAAACCGACACAGGUGGUCAGGUAGAGAAUACCAAGGCGCUUGAGAGAACUCGGGUGAAGGAACUAGGCAAAAUGGUGCCGUAACUUCGGGAGAAGGCACGCUGAUAUGUAGGUGAAGUCCCUCGCGGAUGGAGCUGAAAUCAGUCGAAGAUACCAGCUGGCUGCAACUGUUUAUUAAAAACACAGCACUGUGCAAACACGAAAGUGGACGUAUACGGUGUGACGCCUGCCCGGUGCCGGAAGGUUAAUUGAUGGGGUUAGCGGUAACGCGAAGCUCUUGAUCGAAGCCCCGGUAAACGGCGGCCGUAACUAUAACGGUCCUAAGGUAGCGAAAUUCCUUGUCGGGUAAGUUCCGACCUGCACGAAUGGCGUAAUGAUGGCCAGGCUGUCUCCACCCGAGACUCAGUGAAAUUGAACUCGCUGUGAAGAUGCAGUGUACCCGCGGCAAGACGGAAAGACCCCGUGAACCUUUACUAUAGCUUGACACUGAACAUUGAGCCUUGAUGUGUAGGAUAGGUGGGAGGCUUUGAAGUGUGGACGCCAGUCUGCAUGGAGCCGGCCUUGAAAUACCACCCUUUAAUGUUUGAUGUUCUAACGUUGGCCCCUGAUCGGGGUUGCGGACAGUGUCUGGUGGGUAGUUUGACUGGGGCGGUCUCCUCCUAAAGAGUAACGGAGGAGCACGAAGGUUGGCUAAUCCUGGUCGGACAUCAGGAGGUUAGUGCAAUGGCAUAAGCCAGCUUGACUGCGAGCGUGACGGCGCGAGCAGGUGCGAAAGCAGGUCAUAGUGAUCCGGUGGUUCUGAAUGGAAGGGCCAUCGCUCAACGGAUAAAAGGUACUCCGGGGAUAACAGGCUGAUACCGCCCAAGAGUUCAUAUCGACGGCGGUGUUUGGCACCUCGAUGUCGGCUCAUCACAUCCUGGGGCUGAAGUAGGUCCCAAGGGUAUGGCUGUUCGCCAUUUAAAGUGGUACGCGAGCUGGGUUUAGAACGUCGUGAGACAGUUCGGUCCCUAUCUGCCGUGGGCGCUGGAGAACUGAGGGGGGCUGCUCCUAGUACGAGAGGACCGGAGUGGACGCAUCACUGGUGUUCGGGUUGUCAUGCCAAUGGCACUGCCCGGUAGCUAAAUGCGGAAGAGAUAAGUGCUGAAAGCAUCUAAGCACGAAACUUGCCCCGAGAUGAGUUCUCCCUGACUCCUUGAGAGUCCUGAAGGAACGUUGAAGACGACGACGUUGAUAGGCCGGGUGUGUAAGCGCAGCGAUGCGUUGAGCUAACCGGUACUAAUGAACCGUGAGGCUUAACCUUACAACGCCGAAG